CGAAUGGCUCAUUAAAUCAUUAUCGUUUAUUUGAUAGUACCUUACUACACGGAUACCUGUGGUAAUUCUAGAGCUAAUACGUGCUAAAAACCCCGACUCACGGAGGGGUGUAUUUAUUAGAUAAAAAGCCAAUGCCCUUCGGGGCUUCUUGGUGAUUCAUAAUAACUCAACGAAUCGCAUGGCCUUGCGCCGGCGAUGGUUCAUUCAAAUUUCUGCCCUAUCAACUUUCGAUGGUAGGAUAGUGGCCUACUCAUGGUUYCAMCGGGUAMCGGGAAAUUUUGUGUUUGAUUCCGGAGAGGGGGCCUGAGAAAUGGCCACCACAUCCAAGGRAGGCAGCAGGCGCGCAAAUUACCCAAUCCCGAUACGGGGAGGUAGUGACAAUAAAUACUGAUACAGGGCUCUUUUGGGUCUUGUAAUUGGAAUGAGUACAAUUUAAAUCCCUUAACGAGGAACAAUUGGAGGGCAAGUCUGGUGGACGUCAGCUGGCGCCAGAUAGAGCGGGGGCCCAAAAGCCCGCUAGUCGAGCACCCACACCUCGGCAGGAGGGUGCCGGCGAGGUAACCUGGUACGGGGAAGCCUAAAGAGAUAUCUAGGGCGAUCCCGUGGCGAGCCUGCUCCAGCAGGCCGUCGUAACGCGCGCAAAGGUACCGGUUCCCGCACAGGGGACUCGAGGGACGCGCUGAUCCCGUGCGAAAGCACGCCUCCGGUUCGAGCACCUGCCGUGUCAGGGCCGGGGGGCGCAGGCGACUGCGCGGCGGACGCUGCCCGGGCAGCUCCGAAAAUUGGCCAGCAGCCGCGGUAAUUCCAGCUCCAAUAGCGUAUAUUAAAGUUGUUGCAGUUAAAAAGCUCGUAGUUGAACCUUGGGCCUGGCUGGCCGGUCUUCCUCACCGAAUGCACUGGUCCGGCCGGGCCUUUCCUUCUAGGGAUCCGCAUGCCCUUCACUGGGUGUGUCGGGGAACUAGGACUUUUACUGUGAAAAAAUUAGAGUGUUCAAAGCAGGCCUUUGCUCGAAUACAUUAGCAUGGAAUAAUAGAAUAGGACGUGCGGUUCUAUUUUGUUGGUUUCUAGGAUCGCCGUAAUGAUUAAUAGGGACAGUCSGGGGCGUCAGUAUUCAAUUGUCARAGGUGAAAUUCUUGGAUUUAUUGAAGACUAACUACUGCGAAAGCAUUCGCCAAGGAUGUUUUCAUUAAUCAGUGAACGAAAGUCAGGGGAUCGAAGACGAUCAGGUAAGAGACCUCCAAAUCCCCCCAUAUAACUUUAGAAAGUUUUGCAGCUAACAUUUAAACAGAUACCGUCGUAGUCUUGACCGUAAACUAUACCGACUAGGGAUCGGGCGAUGUUAUUAUUUUGACUCGCUCGGCACCUUACGAGAAAUCAUA
This 1379-nucleotide ribosomal RNA is filed under the name Oncopodiella trigonella. RNAcentral describes it as "partial 18S ribosomal RNA". It matches the Rfam family "Eukaryotic small subunit ribosomal RNA", at positions 90 to 1113 of the family's 1831-position model. The record is from RNAcentral. Lineage: Eukaryota; Fungi; Ascomycota; Dothideomycetes; Oncopodiellales; Oncopodiellaceae.